GAAGUCAACAAGAUUAGCAGCUACUGCAACAGCAGCUCCACUGGAUGACCCACCAGGAACUCUGGAAUGCGAUGCAGGAUUUGUGGGUGUGCCAUAAUGCUUGUUUUCUCCACUGAUGCCCAUUGACAAUUCAUUGGUAACAGUUUUUCCAAUGCAAGUAGCUCCUCCUUCAACAAGAGCAGAAACUAUUGGAGACGUACGAGAAGCUGCAUCAUGUGUUCUUGCCCAGUCUGGAUGACCAAACCCAGUCACAUGUCCUUCAAUUUCAAAUACGUCGGAAACGGCGAAGGUGAGACCGGUCAGGGGAUGAGGAGCUUUAGGAGGAGCAGGCUGAGGAGGAGGAAGUAGCUGAAGCUUGUCGAUAAACGCUCCAAAGUCCUCUCUAAUCGCUUUCUUGAGUUUUUUGGUCAUCAGCAGGAUUCCAG
RNAcentral lists this unclassified non-coding RNA (425 nucleotides) under Hevea brasiliensis (rubber tree). Lineage: Eukaryota; Viridiplantae; Streptophyta; Magnoliopsida; Malpighiales; Euphorbiaceae. The record is from RNAcentral.